GUGAACGCUGGCGGCGUGCCUAACACAUGCAAGUCGAACGAUGAUAGGAAGCUUUCUUUCUUGAUUAGUGGCGCACGGGUGAGUAAUGCAUAGCUAAUGUUCCCCUUAGUUCGGGAUAGCCACUGGAAACGGUGAUUAAUACCGGCUACUCCUUCUUGUUAUAAGACAAGUCGGGAAAGUUUUUCGCUAAGGUCUCAGUCUAUGUUCCAUCAGUUAGUUGGUGAGGUAAUGGCUCACCAAGACUAUGACGGAUAUCUGGGUUGAGAGGAUGAUCAGACACACUGGAACUGAGACACGGUCCAGACUCCUACGGGAGGCAGCAGUGAGGAAUAUUGCACAAUGGAGGAAACUCUGAUGCAGCAACGCCGCGUGGAGGAUGACGCAUUUCGGGGUGUAAACGCCUUUUAGUAGGGAAGAUAAUGACGGUACCUACUGAAUAAGCACCGGCUAACUCCGU
This 457-nucleotide ribosomal RNA is filed under the name uncultured bacterium. RNAcentral describes it as "bacterial SSU rRNA". It matches the Rfam family "Bacterial small subunit ribosomal RNA", at positions 29 to 506 of the family's 1533-position model. The record is from RNAcentral.